CUUGAUCGAGCCGAGCCACAGGGGCUGUUCGCGGUCCUGGCCGUAGGUAGCCAGCAGGGCCUGCGCCUC
This 69-nucleotide antisense RNA is filed under the name Amycolatopsis australiensis. Its description in RNAcentral is "ASpks TB sRNA". It matches the Rfam family "ASpks TB sRNA". Lineage: Bacteria; Bacillati; Actinomycetota; Actinomycetes; Pseudonocardiales; Pseudonocardiaceae. The record is from RNAcentral.